UGCUAACAAAUCCAUAAAACCUAGGACCAAAACCACUUGCUCCAGAGCUUGGAGAGAGAAGGGCCUGCUGGGCUCCAGCUGAUAAGAACAAGAUGCACAAGGCUACCAAUACUAACCAGGGCUUUCUCCCUAGUUAGUUGGCUUCCUGGGAGACUGUAAGGCCCCAGGAGGCGGCUAUCAGUCACAGAGCCUUCAGCGCCCUGAGGGAGAAGAGCCAGUAGCGCUGAGAGGUCUUGACGAGCCUCUCCCAAGGCCCUAGGCUAGGCUGGGCUUGGCUCGACCUGGCCCUUGGCUAUCUUCCUCACCCUAGCCGUACUUAUUCCAUUAACAUUCACCAUUUCCUCCCCACUCUCUUCCUCCAUCUGUUCCCACGGGCUCCAUUAUUCAAACUUGGAGGGAGGAAAUCAGGGCUGGAAAGAUAACAGACUCUGAGCGCUGGUACACUGAGUUCUUUUUAUAUCUGGACAGUUCUCCAAACCAGACAGGAGCAUAGUCUGGCUGUCAUCUGAAAGGCUCUACCUAGCAGCAGACUGAAACAGAUGAAGACGCCCACAGCCAAACAUUAGACGGAGCUCAGGGAGUCUUGUGGAAGAGCUGGGGGAACGCCUGAGGGAUCCGAAGAGGACAGGGACUCCACAGGAAGACCAACAGAGACAACUAAUCUGGACACAUGUUGCAGAUGUGCAGCUUGGUCUUCUUGCAGGGACCCAAACAACUGGAGUCGGGGCUGACCCUGAA
This is a long non-coding RNA of Mus musculus (house mouse), 738 nucleotides long. RefSeq annotates it as predicted gene, 57782. The transcript is spliced from 2 exons. NCBI's taxonomy places the organism in Eukaryota, Metazoa, Chordata, Mammalia, Rodentia, Muridae. The record is from RefSeq and is a predicted model, not a curated record.